This 256-nucleotide ribosomal RNA is filed under the name uncultured bacterium. Its description in RNAcentral is "partial 16S ribosomal RNA". It matches the Rfam family "Bacterial small subunit ribosomal RNA", at positions 235 to 508 of the family's 1533-position model. The record is from RNAcentral.
AUCCUAUCAGCUAGUUGGUGAGGUAAUGGCUCACCAAGGCAAUGACGGGUAGCGGUUCUGANAGGANGAUCCGCCACACUGGUACUGANACACGGACCACACUCCUACGGGAGGCAGCAGUGAGGAAUAUUGCACAAUGGGGGGAACCCUGAUGCAGCAACGCCGCGUGGAAGAUGACGCAUUUCGGUGUGUAAACUCCUUUUAUAUGUCAAGAAAAUGACGGUAGCAUAUGAAUAAGCACCGGCUAACUCCGUGC